RNAcentral lists this small RNA (707 nucleotides) under Histoplasma capsulatum. Its description in RNAcentral is "hypothetical RNA". RNAcentral also lists the same sequence under 1 other name. Lineage: Eukaryota; Fungi; Ascomycota; Eurotiomycetes; Onygenales; Ajellomycetaceae. The record is from RNAcentral.
GCUCUGUAUUUGACAACUUGGACGAACAAUCCCCGGCCCAAGUGCAUGUCGGCCAUUGGAAGCAGCCACCACUGAUUCUCGCAUCUUCGGGGGCCAACACAUGGGCGCUGGAAAAGAAUGAAAUAUACAUACCUUGGGGACAGCCGACAGCAACUUUUGGCGGCAAGAUCACAUCCUGCCAAUGACGCAUCGUCGGCUUCGUCAAAGCGAAAUUCACAAGAAUGGCCGUUGCCCGGCUUACCAUUCCGAAAGAAAGACAAAGAUGAUCCGAGACGAGGGUCAGAGGAGACAGAGUUGAUGCACAGAGAAAGAACCGAUGUUUCAUCAGGAUCCACCGCCUCUCAAUCCAACUCCUUAUAUUCCGACGUGAAAACGGCCUAUGAUGGCAGGCAAAUUUCCAAUGAGCCUGAAGCAAGAACUGUCAACGCCCAUCAUAGAAGAGCGUGGAUCAGGGGAGCUUUGCUAUCUACUUACCUUGCCUGCGUUGUUCUGCUUGUCAAUAUCAUCAUCACCCUUCUUGCUACCAUAAGGGCGUACGGGAAAUACGGGAGCGUGGAAUUCAUAUCCGUACCAGUAUAUCAAGGAAAAUGUUCGGUUUCGAGAAACUGGGCUACGGGGCUACACUUCUUAAUCAACUGUUUAAGUGCGGUGACACUUGCCACCAGUAGCUAUUGCAUGCAAUGCCUAAGUUCGCCAUCCCGAGCGGA